This 72-nucleotide transfer RNA is filed under the name Patescibacteria group bacterium. RNAcentral describes it as "tRNA-Cys". It matches the Rfam family "tRNA". From Rfam's summary of the family: Transfer RNA (tRNA) molecules are approximately 80 nucleotides in length. Their secondary structure includes four short double-helical elements and three loops (D, anti-codon, and T loops). The record is from RNAcentral.
GGCGGCAUAGUCAAGUGGUAAGACGAGAGUCUGCAAAACUCUUAUGCGCCGGUUCGAUUCCGGCUGCCGCCU